GCAAAAACGAUGAGAAAGGAAAGUACAUUCAACGACCGUUUCCAGAGAGUUUGUGGCCGGUGCGAACAAACAACGGGGUUGAAUGGAAUGGGCUUUCGAGUCCCGACCGAACGGAUGCGGGCGGCAUCCCAGUAGGAAAGGGCGUCCCCUUACGUUAUAAGGGUCGAGUUCACUCGGCAAAGCGACCGUUUUUACGGUAACGAGGGUGGCACCGCGGAUGACUGACCAUUCGUCCCUUUU
Molecule: non-coding RNA, 240 nt
Filed under: Caldibacillus debilis
Lineage: Bacteria; Bacillati; Bacillota; Bacilli; Caryophanales; Bacillaceae
Description: T-box sequence
Rfam family: T-box leader
About the family: Uncharged tRNA acts as the effector for transcription antitermination of genes in the T-box leader family.
Source: RNAcentral